This is a long non-coding RNA of Saimiri boliviensis boliviensis (Bolivian squirrel monkey), 1028 nucleotides long. RefSeq lists it as uncharacterized. Lineage: Eukaryota; Metazoa; Chordata; Mammalia; Primates; Cebidae. The record is from RefSeq and is a predicted model, not a curated record.
UAACAACUGACGCGAGGCUCAGCCCCUCGGUUUGGGGGUUUUCUUGGAAGCCUAGGUCCAAAGCCUCAGUCUGCCACGGAGGCGACCGCCCAGCUUCCCCGCGGCUCUUCUGAGGAAAGGGAGGCCUCCCAGCAGAGCCUGAAAACCUGUAAAUUUGGCUGCAGGCUUCGAACCCUGACCGUCCCCGCCCAGCCUUGGGCUGCUGGGUGGAGAUGAACUGGGCUAAAGACACCUGAGAGUGAGGCAGAAACAAACAAGCAGGGAAGUGGCCGGGAGACGAGAUGGGCAUCUACAGAAUGAAUACAGGAAUGUCUGUCUGUCUGUCUGUGCAUACUCUGUGAAGGGAUACACCAGCAUUACAUGCUGACUCAGGAUAGCCAGUAUGCCUUCUGCAAGAGGAAAGCUUGCAUUUCAAAAUCCACCAAGUGAAAAAGAACAGAAAAAUUCAGAGGGCAUCAUUCAUGAUAUCAUUUGAGGAUAUGCUGCAGCAAAAUAAGUGAAUAAACAAGAAAGUCAAAUACAUGGAAUUGAGGAAACAGUGACUUCAGCCCAGGACUGGAAUGACCGGGCAGCAGCCCAGAGAGCAAUCUGUUCAGACUGCGGCAGAACAGCGAGCUCCUGGAGCAGGUACGUGGGAGCUGGGAAAAGACGGUUGCAGAGAUGUAGUCGUAUCCUCGAGAAUAUGAAACUACUCAAAUAUGCAGUAAAGGCAAGUGAUGGAGAAAAAAAAAAAGGAAGGCAAUUAAAACUCCAAAAAAAUGACACAGGAAAUGUAAUCCGGGUCCUGCAGCAAACUAGUUUAAUGCAGUCAUAAUAAAUACUCUACUGAUUUUCUAUGUGUAGAUCAACUGGCUGCAAAGAAAAACUUAUAUGAUUACAGACUACAAAGUAGAUAUUUUUAAAUCUCAGCAAUACACAAGUACAAGUGAUAAAAACUGAGAAGCAACGCCGAAGUUAGAGAAGUAGAAGAAAAAAUAGAGGCACUAAUACCUUCAUUUAAAAAAGUAUCAGGCCAGGGGUGGUGGUUC